RNAcentral lists this ribosomal RNA (418 nucleotides) under uncultured Glomeromycotina. RNAcentral's name for it is "SSU rRNA". It matches the Rfam family "Eukaryotic small subunit ribosomal RNA", at positions 676 to 1092 of the family's 1831-position model. The record is from RNAcentral. Lineage: Eukaryota; Fungi; Glomeromycota.
CGUACUGGCAUUGUUGGUUUCUCCCUUCUGACGAACCAUGAUGUCAUUUAUUUGGUGUUGUGGGGAAUCAGGACUGUUACUUUGAAAAAAUUAGAGUGUUUAAAGCAGGCUCACGCUUGAAUACAUUAGCAUGGAAUAAUGAAAUAGGACGUUUGAUUCUAUUUUGUUGGUUUCUAGGAUUGACGUAAUGAUUAAUAGGGAUAGUUGGGGGCAUUAGUAUUCAAUUGUCAGAGGUGAAAUUCUUGGAUUUAUUGAAGACUAACUACUGCGAAAGCAUUUGCCAAGGAUGUUUUCAUUAAUCAAGAACGAAAGUUAGGGGAUCGAAGACGAUCAGAUACCGUCGUAGUCUUAACCAUAAACUAUGCCGACUAGGGAUCGGAUGAUGUUAAUUUUUUAAUGACUCAUUCGGCGCCUUACG